Molecule: ribosomal RNA, 468 nt
Filed under: uncultured bacterium
Lineage: Bacteria
Description: partial 16S ribosomal RNA
Rfam family: Bacterial small subunit ribosomal RNA
Source: RNAcentral
GACGAACGCUGGCGGCGUGCUUAACACAUGCAAGUCCAACGGAAAGGCCCUGCUUUUGUGGGGUGCUCGAGUGGCGAACGGGUGAGUAACACGUGAGUAACCUGCCCUUGACUUUGGGAUAACUUCAGGAAACUGGGGCUAAUACCGGAUAGGAGCUCCUGCUGCAUGGUGGGGGUUGGAAAGUUUCGGCGGUUGGGGAUGGACUCGCGGCUUAUCAGCUUGUUGGUGGGGUAGUGGCUUACCAAGGCUUUGACGGGUAGCCGGCCUGAGAGGGUGACCGGCCACAUUGGGACUGAGAUACGGCCCAGACUCCUACGGGAGGCAGCAGUGGGGAAUGUUGCACAAUGGGCGGAAGCCUGAUGCAGCAACGCCGCGUGCGGGAUGACGGCCUUCGGGUUGUAAACCGCUUUCGCCUGUGACGAAGCGUGAGUGACGGUAAUGGGUAAAGAAGCACCGGCUAACUACGUG